This 635-nucleotide ribosomal RNA is filed under the name uncultured bacterium. Its description in RNAcentral is "bacterial SSU rRNA". It matches the Rfam family "Bacterial small subunit ribosomal RNA", at positions 202 to 842 of the family's 1533-position model. The record is from RNAcentral.
AAAGAAUUUCGGUAUGGGAUGGGGAUGCGUUCCAUUAGUUAGUUGGCGGGGUAACGGCCCACCAAGACGACGAUGGAUAGGGGUUCUGAGAGGAAGGUCCCCCACAUUGGAACUGAGACACGGUCCAAACUCCUACGGGAGGCAGCAGUGAGGAAUAUUGGUCAAUGGACGAGAGUCUGAACCAGCCAAGUAGCGUGAAGGAUGACUGCCCUAUGGGUUGUAAACUUCUUUUAUAUGGGAAUAAAAUGUUCCACGUGUGGGAUUUUGUAUGUACCAUAUGAAUAAGGAUCGGCUAACUCCGUGCCAGCAGCCGCGGUAAUACGGAGGAUCCGAGCGUUAUCCGGAUUUAUUGGGUUUAAAGGGAGCGUAGGUGGAUUGUUAAGUCAGUUGUGAAAGUUUGCGGCUCAACCGUAAAAUUGCAGUUGAAACUGGCAGUCUUGAGUACAGUAGAGGUGGGCGGAAUUCGUGGUGUAGCGGUGAAAUGCUUAGAUAUCACGAAGAACUCCGAUUGCGAAGGCAGCUCACUGGACUGCAACUGACACUGAGGCUCGAAAGUGUGGGUAUCAAACAGGAUUAGAUACCCUGGUAGUCCACACAGUAAACGAUGAAUACUCGCUGUUUGCGAUAUACAGCAA